CCUACGGGGGGCUGCAGUGAGGAAUAUUGGUCAAUGGUCGGGAGACUGAACCAGCCAAGCCGCGUGAGGGAUGAAGGUACAGAGUAUCGUAAACCUCUUUUGUCAGGGAACAAAGGCGGGGACGUGUCCCCGGAUGAGUGUACCUGAAGAAACAGCAUCGGCUAACUCCGUGCCAGCAGCCGCGGUAAUACGGAGGAUGCGAGCGUUAUCCGGCUUUAUGGUGGUUAAAGGGUGCGCAGGCGGUCUGUUAAGUCAGCGGGCAAAGCCCGGGGCUCAACCCCGGCCCGCCGUUGAAACUGGCAGUCUCGAGUUGGAGAGAAGUAUGCGGAAUGCGCGGUGUAGCGGUGAAAUGCAUAGAUAUCGCGCAGAACUCCGAUUGCGAAGGCAGCAUGCCGGCUCCACACUGACGCUGAGGCACGAAAGCGUGGGUAUCGAACAGGAUUAGAUACCCUAGUAGUC
RNAcentral lists this ribosomal RNA (459 nucleotides) under uncultured bacterium. RNAcentral describes it as "partial 16S ribosomal RNA". It matches the Rfam family "Bacterial small subunit ribosomal RNA", at positions 338 to 795 of the family's 1533-position model. The record is from RNAcentral.